Thalassophryne amazonica is the source of this 631-nucleotide long non-coding RNA. RefSeq lists it as uncharacterized. The transcript is spliced from 3 exons. Lineage: Eukaryota; Metazoa; Chordata; Actinopteri; Batrachoidiformes; Batrachoididae. The record is from RefSeq and is a predicted model, not a curated record.
CAGAUGUAGAAAAUGGCUGACAGCACAUUUAUUUUCUGAUGAGAUCCACAUCCAUCCUUCCUUUGUUGCCUUACAGAAAGCAUUGCUUUUGAGGUGGAGCUGCUGGGUGAAGUGGCCACAGGUGUGUCAGCUGUGGAUUACAUCAAGACUCUGCUCCUACCGGUCAUGUUACUCAUGGGCCCCGCCCCAUCUGUCAAGUCAGUGCAUGGAGUGACAGAGCGACAUCUCACCGCUGACUUUCAUUCUGCUGAGUGGAGCCUCGCAGCUGAAUCUGAUGGCAGCUCAUCACUGUUCUGCAUUUAACCUUGGUGUGUCGUCCGGUUCGGGGCCAGAUUCUCUCCUCACCUACCUCACCAUCUCCAGAAGAACCUCCGCGUUCCCCCUGGUCGGAACCAGGUUGCUAUGGGUGCCAGUUGUGCCAUACCAUCGCUCUCAGUCGUUCAUCCAGCCCCGGUAGCUCCACAGGCUCACUUCACCUGGUCCCGUCCGUCCCUGGUUGGUCCUGUUGUCCUCCUGGUCCCCGUCCUGUUGGUCUCUGGUUGGUCCCAGUCCAGUCAGUUCCUGGUCCCGGUCCAGUUGCCCUGUCUACUGUGCAGUCUCCCCUGUUUGAUUAAAUAAACGUUUGGUUGUU